GAAGCGGGCGAAGGCGAUCGCCUGCAUGGCCAUGCUGUCGGCAGGAGGAAAGUCCGGACUGGGCAGGGCACGGUGAUUGGUAACGCCAACCCGGCGCGAGCCGAGGGAAAGUGCCACAGAAAAGACACCGCCUAAGUGGAAACGGCGCCGGGACCGAAUGCGCCGUGGUCGUUUGAUUCUCCGAAUAGCGGACGCCUGAUGACAACGGCCGCACUCGGUUCCGGAAUUUUCGACAUUUCCACCGGUAAGGGUGAAAUGGUGCGGUAAGAGCGCACCGCGCGACCGGUGACGGUCGUGGCAGGGUAAACCCCACCGCCAGCAAGCCCAAAUAAGCAGCGAGAGGCGGCCCGUCUCGCGGAUCGAUUCAAUCGUGAUUCGAUCUGAAGCUGCGGGUAGGGUGCUCGAGCCGACGGGCGACCGUCGGCCUAGAUAAAUGAUCGCCACGCCGCGCAAGCGGCGGACAGAAUCCGGCUUACUCGCCCGCUUCGUUU
RNAcentral lists this RNase P RNA (491 nucleotides) under Planctomycetota bacterium. RNAcentral describes it as "RNase P RNA component class A". It matches the Rfam family "Bacterial RNase P class A". From Rfam's summary of the family: Ribonuclease P (RNase P) is a ubiquitous endoribonuclease, found in archaea, bacteria and eukarya as well as chloroplasts and mitochondria. The record is from RNAcentral. Lineage: Bacteria; Pseudomonadati; Planctomycetota.